This 484-nucleotide ribosomal RNA is filed under the name uncultured bacterium. Its description in RNAcentral is "partial 16S ribosomal RNA". It matches the Rfam family "Bacterial small subunit ribosomal RNA", at positions 30 to 507 of the family's 1533-position model. The record is from RNAcentral.
AUUGAACGCUGGCGGCAGGCCUAACACAUGCAAGUCGAGCGGAUGAAGGGAGCUUGCUUCUGGAUUCAGCGGCGGACGGGUGAGUAAUGCCUAGGAAUCUGCCUGGUAGUGGGGGAUAACGUCCGGAAACGGGCGCUAAUACCGCAUACGUCCUGAGGGCGAAAGUGUGGGAUCUUCGGACCUCACGCUAUCAGAUGAGCCUAGGUCGGAUUAGCUAGUUGGUGGGGUAAAGGCCUACCAAGGCGACGAUCCGUAACUGGUCUGAGAGGAUGAUCAGUCACACUGGAACUGAGACACGGUCCAGACUCCUACGGGAGGCAGCAGUGGGGAAUAUUGGACAAUGGGCGAAAGCCUGAUCCAGCCAUGCCGCGUGUGUGAAGAAGGUCUUCGGAUUGUAAAGCACUUUAAGUUGGGAGGAAGGGCAGUAAGUUAAUACCUUGCUGUUUUGACGUUACCAACAGAAUAAGCACCGGCUAACUUCGUG